Unclassified non-coding RNA from Saimiri boliviensis boliviensis (Bolivian squirrel monkey), 268 nucleotides. It matches the Rfam family "Metazoan signal recognition particle RNA". From Rfam's summary of the family: The signal recognition particle (SRP) is a universally conserved ribonucleoprotein. It is involved in the co-translational targeting of proteins to membranes. NCBI's taxonomy places the organism in Eukaryota, Metazoa, Chordata, Mammalia, Primates, Cebidae. The record is from Ensembl.
GUUUUGUACCUAUAGUCCAAGCUGCUUGGAGGCUGAGGUUGGGGGAUCACUUGAGUCCAGAAAUUCUGGGCUGUCAUGGGCAAUGCUCAUCAGGUCAUCCUUGGCAUCAAUAUACUGACCUCCUGCGAUCAGGAGACCACCAGGUUGCAUAAGGAGUAGUGAACUGGAACAGAUCAGAAAUAGACCAGGUCAAAACUCCCAUGCUGAUCAGUAGUGUGACUGAAUCACUGCAUUGGAACAUGAGCCAUAGCCUAAGACUCCAUCUUCA